RNAcentral lists this ribosomal RNA (252 nucleotides) under uncultured bacterium. RNAcentral's name for it is "partial 16S ribosomal RNA". It matches the Rfam family "Bacterial small subunit ribosomal RNA", at positions 524 to 776 of the family's 1533-position model. The record is from RNAcentral.
UCCGUAGGUCCCGAGCGUUGUCCGGAUUUAUUGGGCGUAAAGCGAGCGCAGGUGGUUUAUUAAGUCUGGUGUAAAAGGCAGUGGCUCAACCAUUGUAUGCAUUGGAAACUGGUAGACUUGAGUGCAGGAGAGGAGAGUGGAAUUCCAUGUGUAGCGGUGAAAUGCGUAGAUAUAUGGAGGAACACCGGUGGCGAAAGCGGCUCUCUGGCCUGUAACUGACACUGAGGCUCGAAAGCGUGGGGAGCAAACAGG